AGAGUUUGAUCCUGGCUCAGGACGAACGCUGGCGGCGUGCUAAACACAUGCAAGUCGAACGGAGUUAUUAUUUCAGAAGCAAUUAGCUUGCUAAGAGUGGAAGAGAGGAUAACUUAGUGGCGGACGGGUGAGUAACGCGUGGGGAACCUGCCCUGCACCGGGGGAUAACACCUGGAAACAGGUGCUAAUACCGCAUAAGCGCACGAGGCCGCAUGGCCAGGUGUGAAAAACUAAGGUGGUGCAGGAUGGACCCGCGUCUGAUUAGCUUGUUGGUAGGGUAACGGCCUACCAAGGCGACGAUCAGUAGCCGGCCUGAGAGGGUGAACGGCCACAUUGGGACUGAGACACGGCCCAAACUCCUACGGGCAGGCAGCAGUGGGGAAUAUUGGACAAUGGGGGAAACCCUGAUCCAGCGACGCCGCGUGAGUGAAGAAGUAUUUCGAUAUGUAAAGCUCUAUCAGCAGGGAAGAAAAUGACGGUACCUGACUAAGAAGCCCCGGCUAACUACGUGCCAGCAGCCGCGGUAAUACGUAGGGGGCAAGCGUUAUCUGGAUUUACUGGGUGUAAAGGGAGCGUACACCGCAUAGCAAGUCUGAUGUGAAAGAUCGGGGCUCAACCCCGGGCCUGCAUUGGAAACUGUUAAGCUGGAGUACAGGAGAGGUAAGCGGAAUUCCUAGUGUAGCGGUGAAAUGCGUAGAUAUUAGGAGGAACACCAGUGGCGAAGGCGGCUUACUGGACUGUAACUGACGUUGAGGCUCGAAAGCGUGGGGAGCAAACACAGAUUAGAUACCCUGGUAGUCCACGCCCUAAACGAUGAUUAUAAGGGGUCGGUGGGCAUGGGCCCAUCGGUGCGGCUAGCCAACCCAGUAAGUAAUCCACCUGGGGAGUACGUUCGCAAGAAUGAAACUCAAGGAAUUGACGGGGACCCGCACAAGCGGUGGAGCAUGUGGUUUAAUUCGAAGCAACGCGAAGAACCUUACCAAGUCUUGACAUCUCCGAUGCCAGGGUGAGUAAAGUC
This 1018-nucleotide ribosomal RNA is filed under the name uncultured bacterium. Its description in RNAcentral is "bacterial SSU rRNA". It matches the Rfam family "Bacterial small subunit ribosomal RNA", at positions 8 to 1009 of the family's 1533-position model. The record is from RNAcentral.